This is a non-coding RNA of Cytospora paraplurivora, 145 nucleotides long. The record is from the annotation of a GenBank genome assembly. Lineage: Eukaryota; Fungi; Ascomycota; Sordariomycetes; Diaporthales; Cytosporaceae.
GGUCUGGUGGUCUAGUGGUAUGAUUCGCGCUUAGGGUUUACUCUGAGUUAAUUGCGCGAGGUCCGUAAGUAUUAUGAAUUCGAAAAUUCCUGAACCAGAACAAAUAACUAACAUAUAACAGCGGGUUCAAUCCCCGGCCAGACCC